GGAGGAAGCCCUUUCUCAUAACUGUGAUGAUCCAAAAGAGUUUCGGUUAUUGCUUUAUGAUAUGAGGUGAUUAUUCUUAUGUCUUUCUGAAGACGUUAAACUCAGUACUUCUUGGGAGGUAACCCAUGCUCAUGCAAUACGGUGUUUUUGAAGAAAUAAGCUUUUGCGGUGAACAAUUGGCUCGAAAAGUACCAUUGAGAAAGUAUUAAAUGCACCCAGAUAAGUUGUUGAAUGCAACCUGAAAAGCACUACUUACGCCCCAGAAAUUACUUUCUGCACCCUAGUUGCUAAAGGGAGACCAGCCACGGAUAAGGAGGAGGUCAUCUUCCUCAUUUGAAUUUCUGGUUUUGGCGGGAGAAUUUGAUUUUCACGGCUAAAAUUAGGAUUCGAUUUUGGGUGACUUAUGGACAUAUUCAAUCGUUGUAAUCAAUUGCAAUAGGCCUAUUUUAGUUAAACAGGGAUUAUAUGGUGAUUAGAUUCAAACAACUUGGCUGUAACAACGAAGUUGAAGAAAACAGGGGAGAAUGACUUCUCGGGUUUGUUUUGAUUUGUGUGAGAUGUUUCGUUGGAGAUUAAAUCGUUGUUUUGUCGUGGGCUGGACCUGUUAGAGCAUAAAGGUUAUGGUAUGGCUGUUGGAAUCAAUUGGAAUUGGCUAUAUUAUCGGAAUUUUAUAAAACAUGGAAAAAUAUUAUCGGGUUUCCUAUUUCGAUUUCUUGUGAAUGAUAUUUACGUGGAGAUAAGGGAAUAUUAUUAUCUAUUUGAUUUGACGAUAUCCCUAAGAGAGUCUGGAACGUUUGAUUUGGCUUGGAGGAUGCGUAAAAGAAGAUUUGAAGAGAUAUUAUCGUAUCUUGGCAGCAAAGAAAUAAAGUAAUUAAAACAAAAAUAUUCUCGGGAUUUUGAGACCCCGUUGUGUAUAAAUAGAGACUAUAGAGGCCAGAGAAGGGGUAUCGAUAGUUUGGGGACCGAACGGAGGGUCUGGAGGAGCUACAGAGCAAAAAUCAAGAGUUGCGGGAGUUUUCAUCAUCAACAGGGAGGAGAAGAAGAAAACCAAAGAACAACAGAUAAACACAGUCGCAGAAAACUAUUGCCUAUUCUUUCAAAUUCAAUACCUUUGUAGCAAUAUUGAACAAUUAACAGAGUUAGCAACACUGCUGUUAGGGUUUCUCUGUAAUAGUGAGUUCUGUAACAAUUAUAUCUGUUACAAACUCGC
Papaver somniferum (opium poppy) is the source of this 1210-nucleotide long non-coding RNA. RefSeq lists it as uncharacterized. NCBI's taxonomy places the organism in Eukaryota, Viridiplantae, Streptophyta, Magnoliopsida, Ranunculales, Papaveraceae. The record is from RefSeq and is a predicted model, not a curated record. The transcript has 3 exons.